This 468-nucleotide ribosomal RNA is filed under the name uncultured bacterium. RNAcentral describes it as "partial 16S ribosomal RNA". It matches the Rfam family "Bacterial small subunit ribosomal RNA", at positions 28 to 507 of the family's 1533-position model. The record is from RNAcentral.
GACGAACGCUGGCGGCGUGCUUAACACAUGCAAGUCGAACGGAAAGGCCCUGCUUUUGUGGGGUGCUCGAGUGGCGAACGGGUGAGUAACACGUGAGUAACCUGCUCUUGUCUUUGGGAUAACUUCAGGAAACUGGGGCUAAUAUCGGACAGGAGCUCCCGCUGCAUGGAGGGGGUUGGAAAGUCUCGGCGGUCGGGGAUGGACUCGCGGCUUAUCAGCUUGUUGGUGGGGUAGUGGCUUACCAAGGCUUUGACGGGUAGCCGGCCUGUGAGGGUGACCGGCCACAUUGGGACUGAGGUACGGCCCAGACUCCUACGGGAGACAGCAGUGGGGAAUAUUGCACAAUGGGCGGAAGCCUGAUGCAGCGACGCCGCGUGCGGGAUGACGGCCUUCGGGUAGUAAACCGCUUUCGCCUGUGACGAAGCGUGAGUGACGGUAAUGGGUGAAGAAGCACCGGCUAACUACGUG